RNAcentral lists this ribosomal RNA (253 nucleotides) under uncultured bacterium. Its description in RNAcentral is "partial 16S ribosomal RNA". It matches the Rfam family "Bacterial small subunit ribosomal RNA", at positions 524 to 776 of the family's 1533-position model. The record is from RNAcentral.
UACGGGGGGGGCAAGCGUUGUUCGGAAUUACUGGGCGUAAAGGGCGCGUAGGCGGUUCGAUAAGUCAGCUGUGAAAACCAUGGGCUUAACUCAUGGCCUGCAGUUGAGACUGUCGGGCUGGAGUGCGGUAGAGGGUAGUGGAAUUUCCGGUGUAGCGGUGAAAUGCGUAGAUAUCGGAAGGAACACCAGUGGCGAAGGCGGCUACCUGGACUGACACUGACGCUGAGGCGCGAGAGCGUGGGGAGCAAACAGG